ACUACCAGUUCUUCGAAAUCUACGGUGGUGUUAACAACUGGAACCGGGAUGUUCCAGACCAGAAUCUAGAUUUUAAGCCGGUUGAAGAUUUGUUUGGUCGAGAUGGUGGAUUAAAAUCCAGAUCACUGGAUUUCAUGGGAUUAAUGUGACGGAAGAGUCUUUGUACAUAAAUGCUGCUGGCUGGAAAUGAGAUGGUGGAUUGUAGUGGAUUACAACAUUGGAUUUAUAAGUCACAGUGCCUCCUGAAUCACGGCAUUUGUAUAGCAGUUGUCAUGGGAUUAAUGUGACGUUAAGUAUGUGUAUAAAUCGCAUGAUAUUCUUCGCAAUGGCCGUGGGAUUAAUGCGUUGUAUUUUUGUGCGUAAAUCGUUGGAUUUUCUUAGCAAUGGCCAAGGGAUUAAUGUGACGUUUUUCUUCGUAAAUCGCUGGAUUUUCUUAGCAGUGGACAUUGAAUUAAUGUGACGUAUGUGCAUAAAUCGCAGGAUUUUCUUAGCAGUGGUCAUGGGAUUAAUAUGAUGUAAACGAUUUUACCUGAAAGAAUUUUAUUUCAAGUUCUGUCCAACGACGACCACGAGCAGUACUUUUGAAGAAGCCACUUCAAUUAGUACUAUGAAGUAUUAUGUCGUGGCACCAGAAGGAGAAUAGUAGGAAAGCACUCGUCUUCACUGGAAUGUUAGUGAAGUGGACAGGAGAGCAGUAGCAUCAUCUGCCUACGCUGACCUUCCUGCCGUUUUCGCCCUUAUUUGAUA
Macrobrachium nipponense is the source of this 747-nucleotide long non-coding RNA. RefSeq lists it as uncharacterized. NCBI's taxonomy places the organism in Eukaryota, Metazoa, Arthropoda, Malacostraca, Decapoda, Palaemonidae. The record is from RefSeq and is a predicted model, not a curated record. The transcript is spliced from 3 exons.